UGCGUAGGCGGUGCGGUAAGUCUGUUGUGAAAUCUCCGGGCUCAACUCGGAGCCUGCAACGGAAACUGCCGUGCUGGAGUAUGGGAGAGGUGAGUGGAAUUCCCGGUGUAGCGGUGAAGUGCGUAGAUAUCGGGAGGAAGACCUGUGGCGAAAGCGGCUCACUGGACCAUUACUGACGCUGAUGCACGAAAGCUAGGGGAGCAAACAGGAUUAGAUACCCUGGUAGUCCUAGCCCUAAACGAUGAUCGCUUGGUGUGACAGGUACCCAAUCCUGUUGUGCCGGAGCUAACGCGUUAAGCGAUCCGCCUGGGGAGUACGGUCGCAAGGCUGAA
This 332-nucleotide ribosomal RNA is filed under the name uncultured bacterium. RNAcentral describes it as "bacterial SSU rRNA". It matches the Rfam family "Bacterial small subunit ribosomal RNA", at positions 568 to 898 of the family's 1533-position model. The record is from RNAcentral.